RNAcentral lists this ribosomal RNA (478 nucleotides) under uncultured bacterium. RNAcentral's name for it is "bacterial SSU rRNA". It matches the Rfam family "Bacterial small subunit ribosomal RNA", at positions 29 to 507 of the family's 1533-position model. The record is from RNAcentral.
AUGAACGCUGGCGGCGUGCUUAACACAUGCAAGUCGAACGAAGCACUUAAUGAGAUUUCUUCGGAUUGAUAUUUGUGACUGAGUGGCGGACGGGUGAGUAACACGUGAGCAAUCUGCCUUUCAGAGGGGGAUACCGAUUGGAAACGAUCGUUAAUACCGCAUAACAUAAUUGAACCGCAUGAUUUGAUUAUCAAAGAUUUAUCGCUGAAAGAUGAGCUCGCGUCUGAUUAGCUAGUUGGUAAGGUGACGGCCCACCAAGGCGACGAUCAGUAGCCGGACUGAGAGGUUGAACGGCCACAUUGGGACUGAGAUACGGCCCAGACUCCUACGGGAGGCAGCAGUGGGGAAUAUUGGGCAAUGGGCGCAAGCCUGACCCAGCAACGCCGCGUGAAGGAAGAAGGCUUUCGGGUUGUAAACUUCUUUUGUCAGGGACGAGUAGAAGACGGUACCUGACGAAUAAGCCACGGCUAACUACGUG